UCGUUUGCGAAUACCUUCACACGUACUUAUUAUCAAAGGUUCUAAAGAAUUAUUUUUUAAUUGAGUAACUACGGAUUAAUUUGAGUUUUAAAC
This 93-nucleotide unclassified non-coding RNA is filed under the name Komagataella phaffii CBS 7435. The record is from RNAcentral. Lineage: Eukaryota; Fungi; Ascomycota; Pichiomycetes; Pichiales; Pichiaceae.